GAUGUUCGUUUGGAUUGGCUAAGACUGUGUUCCGACUCCUGAAGGAAAUCCGUUGGUCAGCUUAUCUUGAGGUAUUUGCGGAGUGAAAUCCUACAUUCAGGGAGAUUCUACUUAGCCUAGUUAUAUAUGAUUCGGCCGCAUUAUGAUAUGCUGCUUCCCGAUGCUCCACAUCUCGCGCAGCGUUAUGACCAUGCCACGCGCUGGUUUGCCUACUACUUGUUCAAGCAUGUUAUUUCAUCGUAGCCUACUGUAAUCAUUAAAAGCCUCUGAAAUCA
Molecule: long non-coding RNA, 275 nt
Organism: Anguilla anguilla (European eel)
Lineage: Eukaryota; Metazoa; Chordata; Actinopteri; Anguilliformes; Anguillidae
Exons: 2
Source: RefSeq, a predicted model, not a curated record